GGGCCCAUAGCUCAGUUGGUUAGAGCGUCCGGCUCAUAACCGGCAGGUCCUAGGUUCGAGUCCUAGUGGGCCCACCA
Molecule: transfer RNA, 77 nt
Filed under: Candidatus Marinamargulisbacteria bacterium SCGC AG-410-N11
Lineage: Bacteria; Bacillati; Candidatus Margulisiibacteriota; Candidatus Marinamargulisbacteria
Description: tRNA-Met
Rfam family: tRNA
About the family: Transfer RNA (tRNA) molecules are approximately 80 nucleotides in length. Their secondary structure includes four short double-helical elements and three loops (D, anti-codon, and T loops).
Source: RNAcentral